RNAcentral lists this ribosomal RNA (326 nucleotides) under uncultured eukaryote. RNAcentral describes it as "partial 18S ribosomal RNA". It matches the Rfam family "Eukaryotic small subunit ribosomal RNA", at positions 1470 to 1796 of the family's 1831-position model. The record is from RNAcentral.
CCCUUAGAUGUUCUGGGCCGCACGCGCGCUACACUGAUGCAUUCAACAAGCCUAGCCUUGACCGAGAGGUCCGGGUAAUCUUUGAAACUGCAUCGUGAUGGGGCUAGAUUAUUGCAAUUAUUAAUCUUCAACGAGGAAUGCCUAGUAAGCGUGAUUCAUCAAAUCGCGUUAAUUACGUCCCUGCCCUUUGUACACACCGCCCGUCGCUCCUACCGAUUGAAUGUGUUGGUGAGGAGCUCGGAUUGGCAGCAGUUGGUGGUUCGCCACCGGCUAUUGCUGAGAAGUCCUCCAAACCGCCCCAUUUAGAGGAAGGAGAAGUCGUAACA